This 2332-nucleotide ribosomal RNA is filed under the name Enhydrobacter sp. 8BJ. Its description in RNAcentral is "ribosomal RNA 23s ribosomal RNA". It matches the Rfam family "Bacterial large subunit ribosomal RNA", at positions 593 to 2925 of the family's 2925-position model. Lineage: Bacteria; Pseudomonadati; Pseudomonadota; Alphaproteobacteria; Hyphomicrobiales. The record is from RNAcentral.
GUGACGGCGUACCUUUUGUAUAAUGGGUCAGCGACUUAUAUUCUGUAGCAAGGUUAACCGAAUAGGGGAGCCGUAGGGAAACCGAGUCUUAAUAGGGCGUCUAGUUGCAGGGUAUAGACCCGAAACCGAGUGAUCUAUCCAUGAGCAGGUUGAAAGUGACGUAACAGUUACCGGAGGACCGAACCCACUGUCGUUGAAAAGCCAGGGGAUGACUUGUGGAUAGGGGUGAAAGGCUAAUCAAACUCGGUGAUAGCUGGUUCUCCCCGAAAGCUAUUUAGGUAGCGCCUCGGACGAACACCAUUGGGGGUAGAGCACUGUUUCGGCUAGGGGGUCAUCUCGACUUACCAAACCGAUGCAAACUCCGAAUACCGAUGAGUGAUAUCCGGGAGACAGACGGCGGGUGCUAACGUCCGUCGUCAAGAGGGAAACAACCCAGACCGCCAGCUAAGGCCCCAAAUUCCUAGUUAAGUGGGAAACGAUGUGGGAAGGCACAGACAGCUAGGAGGUUGGCUUAGAAGCAGCCAUCCUUUAAAGAAAGCGUAAUAGCUCACUAGUCGAGUCGGCCUGCGCGGAAGAUGUAACGGGGCUCAAACUAGGAGCCGAAGCUGCGGAUUUAAUUGUUUCAAUUAAGUGGUAGGGGAGCAUUGUGUAAGCCUGUGAAGGUGUGUUGUAAAGCAUGCUGGAGGUAUCACAAGAGCGAAUGCUGACGUGAGUAACGACAAUGCGAGUGAAAAGCUCGCACGCCGGAAGACCAAGGGUUCCAGUCCAACGUUAAUCGGGGCUGGGUGAGUCGACCCCUAAGGCGAGGCCGAAAGGCGUAGUCGAUGGGAAAUCGGUUAAUAUUCCGAUACUUGUUUAUGAUGCGAUGGAGGGACGGAGAAGGUUAUGCCAGCUUGGCGAUGGUUGUCCAAGUGGAAGGAUGUAGUUAGGUUUAGUAGGCAAAUCCGCUAGACUAUUAAUGAGAUCUGAUAGCAAGCUGUACUUGUACAGCGAAGUGGCAAAUACCCUGCUUCCAGGAAAAGCUUCUAAGCGAUAGUCAUAAAGAAAUCGUACCCUAAACCGACACAGGUGGUCAGGUAGAGAAUACCAAGGCGCUUGAGAGAACUCUGCUGAAGGAACUAGGCAAAAUGGUACCGUAACUUCGGGAGAAGGUACGCUGCCGAUGGUGAGUAGACAUGCUCUACAAAGCUAUUGGCAGUCGCAGAUACCAGGCCGCUGCAACUGUUUAUUAAAAACACAGCACUCUGCAAACACGAAAGUGGACGUAUAGGGUGUGAUGCCUGCCCGGUGCUGGAAGGUUAAUUGAUGGGGUUAGCGUAAGCGAAGCUCUUGAUCGAAGCCCCAGUAAACGGCGGCCGUAACUAUAACGGUCCUAAGGUAGCGAAAUUCCUUGUCGGGUAAGUUCCGACCUGCACGAAUGGCAUAAUGAUGGCGGCGCUGUCUCCAGCAGAGACUCAGUGAAAUCGAAAUCGCAGUGAAGAUGCUGUGUACCCGCGGCUAGACGGAAAGACCCCGUGAACCUUUACUACAGCUUUACAUUGAACUUUGACCUUACCUGUGUAGGAUAGGUGGGAGGCUUUGAAGCAGGCACGCCAGUGUCUGUGGAGCCAUCCUUGAAAUACCACCCUGGUAAUGUUGGGGUUCUAACUCAAGCUUAACAGAGCUGAGGACAAUGUAUGGUGGGUAGUUUGACUGGGGCGGUCUCCUCCUAAAGAGUAACGGAGGAGUACGAAGGUGCGCUCAGAACGGUCGGAAAUCGUUCGAAGAGUAUAAAGGCAAAAGCGCGCUUAACUGCGAGACCCACAAGUCGAGCAGAUACGAAAGUAGGUCUUAGUGAUCCGGUGGUUCUGUAUGGAAGGGCCAUCGCUCAACGGAUAAAAGGUACUCUGGGGAUAACAGGCUGAUACCGCCCAAGAGUUCAUAUCGACGGCGGUGUUUGGCACCUCGAUGUCGGCUCAUCUCAUCCUGGGGCUGAAGCAGGUCCCAAGGGUAUGGCUGUUCGCCAUUUAAAGAGGUACGCGAGCUGGGUUUAGAACGUCGUGAGACAGUUCGGUCCCUAUCUACCGUGGGCGUUGGAAAUUUGAGAGGAUCUGCUCCUAGUACGAGAGGACCAGAGUGGACGAACCUCUGGUGUUUCGGUUGUGACGCCAGUCGCAUUGCCGAGUAGCUAUGUUCGGAUGGGAUAACCGCUGAAAGCAUCUAAGCGGGAAGCCCACCUUAAGAUUAGAUUUCCCUAAAGAGCCGUUGUAGACUACGACGUUGAUAGGUUGGGUGUGGAAGCACAGCGAUGUGUGUAGCUAACCAAUACUAAUUGCUCGUUUGGCUUGACUAU